This 1746-nucleotide ribosomal RNA is filed under the name Triticum aestivum (bread wheat). Its description in RNAcentral is "partial small subunit ribosomal RNA". Lineage: Eukaryota; Viridiplantae; Streptophyta; Magnoliopsida; Poales; Poaceae. The record is from RNAcentral.
AUGGCGAGCGCGGCGGCGUCCAAGAAGGCGGCGAACCGGCUGGUGGUGGAGGAGGCCGCCACCAACGACGACAACUCCGUGUGCACCCUCCACCCCGCCACCAUGGACAAGCUCUCCAUAUUCAAGGGCGACAUCGUGCUGCUCAAGGGCAAGCGCCGCCACAGCACGGUCUGCAUGGCACUGCCUGACGACACCUGCGAGGGCCACAAGAUGAGGAUCAACAAGGUAGCCCGGUCCAACCUGCGCGUGCGCAUCUCCGACGUCGUGUCGGUGCACCAGUGCCACGACGUCAAGUACGGCAAGCGCGUGCACAUCCUCCCGUUGGACGACACCAUCGAGGGCAUCGGGGGGAACCUCUUCGACGCCUACCUCAAACCCUACUUCGUGGACGCCUACCGCCCGGUCCACAAGGGCGACCUCUUCCUCGUGCGUGGUGGCAUGCGGAGCGUGGAGUUCAAGGUCAUGGAGAUGGACCCUGCGGUGGAGUACUGCAUCAUGGCGCCCGACACGGAGAUAUUCUGCGAGGGCGAGCCGGUCAAGAGGGAGGAUGAGGAGAGGCUCGACGACGUCGGCUACGACGACGUGGGUGGCAUGGGGAAACCGCUGACUCUCAUCAGGGAGCUCGUCGAGCUGCCACUCAGGCAUCCGCAGAUCUUCAAGAGCAUUGGCGUCAAGCCUCCCAAAGGCAUCCUCCUCUACGGCCCUCCCGGGUCCGGCAAGACGUUGAUCGCCCGUGCGGUGGCGAACGAGACCGGGGCCUUCUUCUUCCUUAUCAACGGCCCGGAGAUAAUGUCCAAGAUGGCUGGAGAGAGCGAGAGCAACCUGAGGAAGGCCUUCGAGGAGGCCGAGAAGAACGCGCCCUCCAUCAUCUUCAUCGACGAGAUCGACUCCAUUGCCCCUAACAGGGAGAAGACUCACGGCGAGGUCGAGAGGCGCAUCGUCUCCCAGCUGCUGACGCUCAUGGACGGCAUGAAGGCACGCGCGCACGUCAUCGUCAUGGGCGCCACGAACCGUCCCAACAGCAUCGACCCUGCCUUGAGGCGCUUCGGGAGGUUCGAUCGCGAGAUCGACAUCGGCGUGCCGGACGAGGUCGGCCGCCUCGAAGUGCUCCGCAUCCACACCAAAAACAUGAAGCUGGACAAGGACGUCAACCUUGAGGUGGUUGCCAAGGAUACGCACGGCUACGUUGGCGCCGACUUGGCCGCGCUCUACACCGAGGCGGCGUUGCAGUGCAUCAGGGAGAAGAUGGACGUGAUCGACUUAGAGGACGACACCAUUGAUGCCGAGAUCUUGAACUCCAUGGCCGUCACCAAUGACCACCUUAAGACGGCUCUCAUCGGCACCAACCCGUCCGCGCUUCGUGAGACCGUCGUCGAGGUGCCCAACGUCAACUGGAACGAUAUCGGCGGCCUCGACAGCGUCAAGAGGGAGCUGCAAGAGACCGUACAGUACCCGGUCGAGCACCCAGAGAAAUUUGAGAAGUUCGGCAUGUCGCCGUCCAAGGGCGUCCUCUUCUACGGGCCACCGGGAUGUGGCAAGACCUUGCUGGCGAAGGCGAUCGCCAACGAGUGUCAGGCCAACUUCAUCAGCAUCAAGGGGCCAGAGCUGCUCACCAUGUGCGUGAAAUCUUUGACAAGGCACGCCAGUCUGCGCCGUGCGUCUUGUUCUUCGACGAGCUUGACUCCAUCGCAACCCAGAGGGGAGGCAGGGUGGGGGAUGCCGGCGGUGCGGCGGACAGGGUCCUGA